UCCCUCCACUCAGUUUUACUAUCCCCGCCUCCAUCGCGCAGGAGGCUCCCUCGGCGGAGGAGCUUCUCCUAAAUCAAAAACCUUAACACCAAACUCUUCCUCUCACCAUCUUUUACACCGAUUGACCCUUACAUUUCAUCAAUUCCUAAUCCAGUAGACGAAUCGAGCCAAACUUUUGGGAGAACCCUAACUAUUGAAGACAAGAUUAAAUCCUCUAACCAUGGAAUCAAAGCCCAGACGGUUGGUGCUUUGAUUCCCUCAGCUCUAAACUACGCACCAGCAACAGACUUGAAGUGAAAAAGGGAAGAAUAUUCAGCUUACCUUCCGAAGAAGGUGAAGACGAUGGUGACAACGAGAUAUCUGGAAACACUCCUGCAAUUCUUGAAGCAUUCUCAAUCAGCUCACCAACCAAAGAGUUGCAACAACGACAUCAUGGCUUCUACUAAGUAAAUGAUGAAAAAGGAUGUCCGUUUGUUCAUGUCCCAAGCCUUCGAACAGUUCCUUGGCAAAAGCAAGCUGAUCAUCGAUAAUUAUCUCAAUGUUUACACCAAUAUUCAGAGCUCUUACAUGGCUUCAACACCUUCAUGCAUAGAGGGAUCAAUUAGUGGUAAAAAACCAACAAAUCUUCAUGGUGCACUAGGGGUUGCAAAUGGUAUACCGCUAAUGAUCAAAUGUUGUUGCCGUAAAUAGCAAGAUGCUAACAUGGGCAACAACAGUUUGUCUGAGGAUGGUUGCUACGACUCAAAUAUGGUGUAGCUUCUAGUUCAACUUCAGAAUUAAGAGUUGGUUAAUUGGUUUAAUUUACUACGGGUGGAACGUCAUGGAUUCAAUGCCGCUACCUGUGUUAACGGCUGUAGCCGCUGAAGGCAAGCAGCGUGCUCCACCUUCUGCGGUUGCUGCUGCUGAAAAACCGGUUAAAGGUGCUAUUGUCAUGGCCACCAUGGUUGAAAAGUUCUUCUUGUUCAUGUUAGUGACCGUAUAUUGUUGGUUUCGAUUUCAUGAUGGAUAUUUGUAGGGUUUAUAUAGGCAAUGGAAGGAGGAAACCCAGGACCCACAUAUGCAAAUAGAUUUGUCCAAUUUGCUCUAUCAGGAACAAAAAUUUGAUCAAUG
This is a long non-coding RNA of Lathyrus oleraceus (garden pea), 1110 nucleotides long. RefSeq lists it as uncharacterized. The record is from RefSeq and is a predicted model, not a curated record. The transcript is spliced from 3 exons. NCBI's taxonomy places the organism in Eukaryota, Viridiplantae, Streptophyta, Magnoliopsida, Fabales, Fabaceae.